UACAGAGGGGGCAAGCGUUGUUCGGAAUUAUUGGGCGUAAAGCGCACGUAGGCGGCUCCGCAAGUCGGAUGUGAAAUCCCUCGGCUCAACCAAGGAAGUGCAUCCGAAACUGCAGAGCUUGAGUACCAAAGAGGAUCGCGGAAUUCCCGGUGUAGAGGUGAAAUUCGUAGAUAUCGGGAGGAACACCAGUGGCGAAGGCGGCGAUCUGGGUGGAUACUGACGCUGAGGUGCGAAAGCGUGGGGAGCAAACAGG
Molecule: ribosomal RNA, 253 nt
Filed under: uncultured bacterium
Lineage: Bacteria
Description: partial 16S ribosomal RNA
Rfam family: Bacterial small subunit ribosomal RNA
Source: RNAcentral